Molecule: ribosomal RNA, 568 nt
Filed under: uncultured archaeon
Lineage: Archaea
Description: bacterial SSU rRNA
Rfam family: Archaeal small subunit ribosomal RNA
Source: RNAcentral
CGGGGUGCAGCAGGCGCGAAAACUUUACAAUGCGGGAAACCGUGAUAAGGGGACACCGAGUGCCAGCAUCAUAUGCUGGCUGUCCAGGUGUGUAAAAUACACCUGUUAGCAAGGGCCGGGCAAGACCGGUGCCAGCCGCCGCGGUAACACCGGCGGCCCGAGUGGUGAUCGUGAUUAUUGGGUCUAAAGGGUCCGUAGCCGGUUUGGUCAGUCCUCCGGGAAAUCUGACGGCUCAACCGUUAGGCUUUCGGGGGAUACUGCCGGGCUUGGAACCGGGAGAGGUAAGAGGUACUACAGGGGUAGGAGUGAAAUCUUGUAAUCCCUGUGAGACCACCUGUGGCGAAGGCGUCUUACCAGAACGGGUUCGACGGUGAGGGACGAAAGCUGGGGGCACGAACCGGAUUAGAUACCCGGGUAGUCCCAGCCGUAAACGAUGCUCGCUAGGUGUCAGGCAUGGCGCGACCGUGUCUGGUGCCGCAGGGAAGCCGUGAAGCGAGCCACCUGGGAAGUACGGCCGCAAGGCUGAAACUUAAAGGAAUUGGCGGGGGAGCACAAGGGCGAAUCGCGG